Molecule: long non-coding RNA, 893 nt
Filed under: Gouania willdenowi (blunt-snouted clingfish)
Lineage: Eukaryota; Metazoa; Chordata; Actinopteri; Blenniiformes; Gobiesocidae
Description: lncRNA (ENSGWIG00000000207.1)
Source: RNAcentral
AACAGCUCUGAUCGCUCGCUGCUCAGCUGUUCAGGGAUCAACAGUGUGUGUUUGUAGCUGUAAAUAUGGCGCUAAUGCUGGAGCUCACCUCCUUCUUCUUCUGCCUCAGUGAGCGUUAGGAGGAUGUGUGAGUGAAAAGCAGGAAGAACAUGUACAAACAUCAGUGUGUGUUUGAAUCAACACACACAUGUCGGAACUGGAAUCCCUGAUCGUUGACUUCCAGGCUCAGCUGUCGGAGGUGAUGGAGACCGUGGUGAAGACGGCGAUGUUUGAGGUCAGCAGGCUGGUGGAGGAGGUGGUGUUUGUGCAGACAAAGCUCCACUUACAGCUCAAAUAGAAGCCUCACAGGACGGUUCACGAGCUGGACAACUGUCAGUUUCCCUUUCCCACAGAGCUCAGGAUUAGAGGAAAACACAGAAAUCAUCUCCUCUAUCAGCGUGGCCGACUCAGGAUGGAAAGUCUGAGACAUUUUAUUAUCUCGUCAUGUGUGCGAUAAACCCAACAUGUGUCACCGUGGGAUAAUUCUGAUCUGACGCUCCCUGUUAGAAACCAAAGAAAACAACAAAACAAUCUAAAUCUAACGGAUUCUCCACCUUCUAAAUCCUGGAGCUGAAGGAUUUUCUUGGACAGACUGUGAGGAAGUGUGAGGGGAGGAGUCACAAUGUUACAGCUGAUCAGUGUAUGAAACCUGUAUGUGGACCAGUGGCUAAUUCUGAGGAACUAAUGUUGAUCUUGUUGUAGAAACUAAAGUCAUCCUGACGACCUUUGAACUCUUCUUCAUGAUGUUUGUUUUGCAGAAGCUGCCUCGCUCCAACAGCCUGGAUGAUGAGAACUUUGAUGUGAAAAACAUUUGUCUGAAUAAAUAUAUAUUAUAAAAUAAAAAAUAACUUGCU